UUAACUCAUCUACAGAAUAUCAUGCUGCUCUGCAAUGUGAAGGAGUUGCUGAGGGGCCUGCAAGUCUCAAUGAUGUGCCUGCUGAGGCUGGGGUUUGCAGUGGUCAUGCAGGAACUGAUGGUCAGUCCAAUAACAAUGUCUUCAUGGAUUCUGGUUUGGUAAUGGGUACUCUAGAUUCUGCAAAUGUUGAUCUUGAUAUGAAUGGUCCUGAUGCUGAAGGAGAUCAGUUAGAGCAGCCUAUUCCUGCUUCUGAACAUGCAGUGGAUGAGCCAUCAUCUAGGCAAGAUACAGUGGUUGCUCAGGAAGCUGAUCAGGCUGACCAAGUUAGUACAAAUAACGAGGCCUCUGGUGCAACUGCAAUUGAUCCAACCUUCUUGGAAGCUCUACCUGAAGAUUUACGGGCAGAAGUUCUAGCUUCUCAGCAAGCUCAAUCUGUUCAACCUCCAACUUAUACGCCACCUCCUGUUGAUGAUAUUGAUCCUGAGUUUUUGGC
RNAcentral lists this unclassified non-coding RNA (493 nucleotides) under Hevea brasiliensis (rubber tree). Lineage: Eukaryota; Viridiplantae; Streptophyta; Magnoliopsida; Malpighiales; Euphorbiaceae. The record is from RNAcentral.